GUCCAGACCUUUUAGCCCACCCAUACACUCCUCCAGCCCUCCUCCGAUAGCACCCUUAGCCCGGGCUGAAAGCACUUCUUCAAUAUCGUCAACUAACUCAUUGAGCGCAGCCACCACUCCCACAGUUGAGAAUGAACAGCCCUCCCUCGUUUGGUUUGACAGAGGAAAGUUUUAUUUGACUUUUGAAGGUUCCUCCAGGGGGCCCAGUCCUCUAACUAUGGGGGCCCAGGACACCCUCCCGGUUGCAGCAGCGUUCACAGAAACUGUCAAUGCCUACUUCAAAGGAGCAGAUCCAAGCAAAGAGAUAUAUGGCUCUUAACACUCUGUACCAAAGGGAAUCCUGACUCCAAACUGUUGACAAGAAUCAUUAAUCGACCCGGUACACCAAACCCUUGCACCAGACUACUGUCAAGUCAAGUGUAUCAUUAGUUUAAUUCUAGGCCUGAAUCCCAUCAAUAAACAAAAGGAAACCUAAGCAAUCG
This 482-nucleotide long non-coding RNA is filed under the name Rattus norvegicus (Norway rat). Its description in RNAcentral is "long non-coding RNA NONRATT022435". Lineage: Eukaryota; Metazoa; Chordata; Mammalia; Rodentia; Muridae. The record is from RNAcentral.